GACGAACGCUGGCGGCGUGCUUAACACAUGCAGGUCGAACGGAAAGGCCCUUCGGGGUACUCGAGUGGCGAACGGGUGAGUAACACGUGGGUGAUCUGCCCUGCACUUUGGGAUAAGCCUGGGAAACUGGGUCUAAUACCGAAUAGGACCACGCGCUUCAUGGUGUGUGGUGGAAAGCUUUUGCGGUGUGGGAUGGGCCCGCGGCCUAUCAGCUUGUUGGUGGGGUAAUGGCCUACCAAGGCGACGACGGGUAGCCGGCCUGAGAGGGUGACCGGCCACACUGGGACUGAGAUACGGCCCAGACUCCUACGGGAGGCAGCAGUGGGGAAUAUUGCACAAUGGGCGCAAGCCUGAUGCAGCGACGCCGCGUGAGGGAUGACGGCCUUCGGGUUGUAAACCUCUUUCAAUAGGGACGAAGCGCAAGUGACGGUACCUAUAGAAGAAGCACCGGCCAACUACGUG
Molecule: ribosomal RNA, 462 nt
Filed under: uncultured bacterium
Lineage: Bacteria
Description: partial 16S ribosomal RNA
Rfam family: Bacterial small subunit ribosomal RNA
Source: RNAcentral